This 481-nucleotide ribosomal RNA is filed under the name uncultured bacterium. RNAcentral's name for it is "partial 16S ribosomal RNA". It matches the Rfam family "Bacterial small subunit ribosomal RNA", at positions 28 to 507 of the family's 1533-position model. The record is from RNAcentral.
GAUGAACGCUGGCGGCGUGCUUAACACAUGCAAGUCGAACGAAGCAUUUAGGACAGAUUACUUCGGUUUGAAGUUCUUUAUGACUGAGUGGCGGACGGGUGAGUAACGCGUGGGUAACCUGCCUUGUACUGGGGGAUAGCAGCUGGAAACGGCUGGUAAUACCGCAUAAGCGCACAAUGUUGCAUGACAUGGUGUGAAAAACUCCGGUGGUAUAAGAUGGACCCGCGUCUGAUUAGCUAGUUGGUGAGAUAACAGCCCACCAAGGCGACGAUCAGUAGCCGACCUGAGAGGGUGACCGGCCACAUUGGGACUGAGACACGGCCCAGACUCCUACGGGAGUCAGCAGUGGGGAAUAUUGCACAAUGGAGGAAACUCUGAUGCAGCGACGCCGCGUGAGUGAAGAAGUAAUUCGUUAUGUAAAGCUCUAUCAGCAGGGAAGAUAGUGACGGUACCUGACGAAGAAGCUCCGGCUAAAUACGUG